AAGCUAAGCGGGGAAAAUGUUGGUAUGUUAAAUGAUGAGCCCAUAAAGUUGAGGGAGGCUGAACACUGCAGCAAAUAUGCCAGUAUGUAAUCACGCCUGUGUCUGAGUGACUGUCAGAUAGAAGGAUAAUUUCCGAAAGCCGUAUGGAGUCUCCAGUUGAGGCUUCGAAGUUGUUUUAGCAAAGCCUGCAUAGCCUUUUUAUAUGCACAUUAACAAACGGCCCUGAUCGAGCAUUGCGUAUAGAAGACUGGACUGGAAUCCCCGUAACUCAUGAAAUCGCUUUUUCAAAAUCGUUGUAUGUUCACUCCUAUAAUUCAUAGCAGAUUCGGAUAGUGGGCUAGUAAGAAAUACUGACAUCAGACAGCGUCGCAUUAUUCUUCGGGGAUUGUCAGAAUCUUAGGAAUUUACUGUUCUGCUUUCAUGCGGCUAGGUCCUGCGAGAGGAUCAGCCAGCUCCAUAAAUGUCCCGAGUAAAAUUUGCCCGUGAGCGGAAUGUGUAGACGAACUGUUCCCAGGAAAAUAAAUUAAAAAUGGACCGGUUGUGUAUCGAACACGAAACGACCGAUUUUGGCAUACACGCGUUUUAUUUCACAAUGCGAUAUUCUCAUUGUAUAAAAAAUGGUCGUUUUAUUAACUGCUAAAGCCGAGCAAACAGGAAAGCGUCCAUUUACUUAUAAAUUUCAGCUGCAUCUUAGUGGCUUUGAGAAAUAUUUAGAACCUUGUCCAUAACAUAUGAUGGUCAUAUUCCUCGACAGAGAUAUCAAGAGCCUGUGAUCCCGGUUCAACUUACUUGCUCUUCCCCACUUUCUUUAUCUCACUGUACAUAAAGUCUAGUUGUCUGACUAAAGUAGUGCACACAUUUACUUGACAAACUCGCAAGUAGUUACCGGUUGUGUUGAGAUCAGUGGCAGCUAAAAUCGAACUCAUACGGCUCAAUUCGCCGGUAAUAGUACAUACAUAUCCAACGUGACUGCCGUGCUGCGUUAACCGUGGUCUACCUCUAACGACGCUCAAGUGCCUGAACGAAGACUGUUACAGACUGUUUCAGAGAUCAACCAUUGGUGUGACCAGACCUAAACCUGUUCCCCCGGGUACCGCCAACAAGCUGCUUUGUUUAUUACCCUAUAUGUUUGUGUACAGAUGUCUUUAAGCACACAUGAUUUUGACUUUUUUUCUUAUCGAGCCGACACAAGGCGUCUGGAUUGAUCCCGGUACCAGUAAUGGAUUCAUCCUUUAUGGAUUAAUCUUGCCGAAGUUGAAAAUCGGGAUCAAAACGGGUUAAGCCAAUGAGAUAGCUGGAUACAAUAAGAGUUCUUAGAGUACACCAAAGCUGGCUAAUUUGGUGGUAAACACUCCAGUACCUUACAAAAAAUAUAAGAUUUACAAUGGACCACGAUUAGUGGUUUGAACUCCAGAAAACUUCCACGUUUGCGCUGAGCUGCGUGCUUCAAUUUUAAAAAUGUUCACAUAAUUUUCGUGGCAGGCCGUACCCAUAUCCGCAUCAGGUCUCCAAGGUGAACAGCCUCUGGCAUUUGAACAAUGUAGGUAAGGGAAGUCGGCAAAUUGGAUCUGUAACUUCGGGAAAAGGAUUGGCUCUGAGGGCCGAGUCAAACGGGCUGAAGUAAGAUACGUGUCGGUCAAGUUGGAGGCUGGUUUCUCUGUUGCCUUGUCUGCUUCGGUGGGUAGGGUUGACGGAGUUACUGGACUCUGACCGGAUCGGUCGUGGGCGACUUCAGCUAACAGAGUUGCUUGGCAAGCGGUGUGCAUGGGUAACUGUGUGCGCAAUGCGGUCUUGCUCUCUUCGUCUGGCGUUCAACGGCUAACUCAGAACUGGCACGGACCAGAGGAAUCCGACUGUCUAAUUAAAACAAAGCAUUGCGAUGUCCACUGAUCGGUUUUGACGCAAUGUGAUUUCUGCCCAGUGCUCUGAAUGUCAAAGUGAAGAAAUUCAAUCAAGCGCGGGUAAACGGCGGGAGUAACUAUGACUCUCUUAAGGUAGCCAAAUGCCUCGUCAUCUAAUUAGUGACGCGCAUGAAUGGAUUAACGAGAUUCCUACUGUCCCUAUCUACUAUCUAGCGAAACCACAGCCAAGGGAACGGGCUUGGCAGAAUUAGCGGGGAAAGAAGACCCUGUUGAGCUUGACUCUAGUCCGACUUUGUGAGGAGACAUGACGGGUGUAGAAUAAGUGGGAGACCGGUCCUUCGGGGCUUGUCGACAGUGAAAUACCACCACCGUCAUUGUUUCUUUGCUUAUUCAGUAAAACGGGAAAUCGAUUUUGGUUCUAAGCACAUGCUGGCGUCCGUGGCGUAUGCUGCGGGGGUUGGUAUCUUGGUCAUGUCAGAGUAGUCGUGGUCUCGGCCGCGGCGUUUGAGUCUGAUUGUGAUGUGCGACCCGUUCUGAAGACAAUGUCAGGCGGGGAGUAUGAAGACGACUGGNAGGAGUACCGGGUACGCAUACCUGAUGAGCGGCAACAACCGCGAAACCGGUCGUGUGCUUCCGGGGAAAUUUUGUCCACACGUUAACAUACUACUUACUAUAAAUAUAUAUAACGAUACGAAGUUCUCAGUGCUCGUCAGUUAUUUAUUCAACCAUCCCACCGAGGACGAGUUUGGACAUGAGAACUUCCUCGGAAUUAAACGCUACUCUUUUGAGAAAACUUGAACACAGUUAUUUCGAUUGACAAUUUACGAGUGUCUUGGAUACCGUCGUCUCUCUCUCUCUCUCUCUCUCUCUCUCUCUUCCUUUCUCUCUACAGCCGAGCAUGACUAUCACGCUACCGGUGAAAAAGGAGGACCAGUUGAGAUGUAACUGUUGUGUUGACGCUACUUAGUCCACUGGUGUAUUGAUAUUCCACCUGGAGCUCCAAGCCGAUUUCAAAGCCUGCGCACCUCGGUGUUAUCAUUAACUUUGACCUUUCUCAGUCUGAACAUUUCGCCACAGCCUUCCUGGAAAUAAUACGGUUUACUAUUUGUUUGACGACUCAAGUAGUUUGUCUCUCUCUCUCUCUCUCUCUCUCCCGCUUCACCCAAAAUUUUGUUUCAUCCCGCCUUCUAUCUCGCUGACACUACAACUGCGUACUAUUCCCUGCAACUUUUGUUAAGGACUUUAAACGAGUAUUCUAAUCCCUGAAGCAUGCAUCUACGUAGUGACA
This 3150-nucleotide ribosomal RNA is filed under the name Fasciola hepatica (liver fluke). RNAcentral's name for it is "eukaryotic LSU rRNA". The stretch from base 1140 to 3150 matches the Rfam family "Eukaryotic large subunit ribosomal RNA". The record is from RNAcentral. Lineage: Eukaryota; Metazoa; Platyhelminthes; Trematoda; Plagiorchiida; Fasciolidae.